RNA transcript from Carassius auratus (goldfish), 2883 nucleotides. It is a transcript of the gene named E3 ubiquitin-protein ligase TRIM39-like, with no coding region annotated. The transcript has 11 exons. The record is from RefSeq and is a predicted model, not a curated record. NCBI's taxonomy places the organism in Eukaryota, Metazoa, Chordata, Actinopteri, Cypriniformes, Cyprinidae.
GAGACUCCGAGAAAGUGAAACUAACUUGAUCAACAACAUGGACACCUAAGACCAUCGAACUCUUUAAACAACUGAAUAUUGAGUCGUUCAGAGACCCUUGUGAACACAUCUGAUACUCACAGGCUUUAAGAGGGAAAGAACAAUGGCAGAAUCUUCACUAACAGCAAGAAAAACCAGGAGACAGAGUAUUGAACAUGAAUAUCCAUUAAUGUCAUCCUCCAUGAGUUCACUGUCUGAGGAGAUUCAGUGCUCUGUAUGUCUGGAUGUGUUCACUGAUCCAGUCUCGACUCCAUGUGGACACAACUUCUGCAAGAUCUGUCUGAAUAAGUGCUGGGACAACAGCCAGACCUGCAGCUGUCCAUACUGUAAAGAAACAUUCAAGCAAAGACCUGAUCUCAAGAUUAAUACCACACUCCGAGAGCUCGUAGAUCACUAUAAGAAGAAAAGUCCUGAGAAAACAACUGAAGUUCUGUGUGACAUCUGUGAGGAAAGAAAGCUGAAAGCGCUGAAGUCGUGUCUGGUGUGUCAGAGCUCUUACUGUGAAACUCACCUGGAGCCUCAUUUGAGAGUGACACGUUUGAAGAAACACAAACUGAUGGAUCCUGUGAGUAAUCUGGAGGACUAUAUAUGUCAGAAACACGAGAGACCUCUGGAUCUGUUCUGUAGAGAUGAUCAGACAUGUGUGUGUUCAAUCUGCUCUGUGAAAGACCACAAGAACCACAACACUGUUCCUAUAGAAGAGGAGAGUCAAGAGAAGAAGACUGAACUGAUGAAGACACAGAAAGACGUGCAGCUGAUGAUCCAGAACAGAAUCAAGAAGAUUCAAGACAUCAAACACUCAGCAGAAGUCAGAAAAAGAAACACAGAGAAGGAGAAAGCAGUCCGUGUGGAGCUCUUGACUGAUCUCAUCCGCUCCAUUGAGAGACAUCAGACUGAACUGCUGGAGAUGAUGGAGGAGCAGCAGAAAGCAGCAGAGAAACAGGAGCAAGAGCUGAUUGAAGAGCUGGAGCAGGAGAUCACUGAGCUAAAGAUGAGAAACACUGAGCUGGAGCAGCUCUCACACACUGAAGAUCACCUCCACCUCCUACAGAUUCACUCAUCCCUGUGCAGCUCUAGAAACACCAGGAACUGGCCUGAGAUCAGUAUGAAGACUCAUGAGAGUCUGGAGACUCUGAGGAGAGCUCUGACUCAACUGAAGGACACUAUAGAUGAGAAACUCACACUAACUGUCUCUACAGAGCUGAAGUGGAUGCAGCAGUAUGCAGUGGAUGUGACUCUGGAUCCUGAUACAGCUCAACCUAAUCUCAUUCUGUCUGAUGAUGGAAAACAAGUGAGAGAUGUAGACAUUAGACAGAAACUCCCAGACAAACCAGAGAGAUUUGAUCCAUGUCCCUGUGUCUUGGGAAAGGAGGGAUUCUCCUCAGGGAGAUUUUAUUUUGAGGUGCAGGUGAAGGGAAAGACUGAUUGGGUUUUAGGAGUGGCCAGAGAAUCUAUUAACAGGAAGGGACCGAUCACACUGAGUCCCAGAGAUGGAUACUGGACUGUGAUUCUGAUGAAUGGAGAUGAAUAUAAAGCCUGUGCUAGUCCUCUCAUCUCUCUGUCUCUGAGAGUGAAGCCACAGCGGGUCGGUGUGUUUGUGGAUUAUGAGGAGGGUCUGGUCUCCUUUUAUGAUGUGGAGUCCAGCUCUCAUAUCUACUCUUUCACUGCUCAGUCUUUCACUGAAAAACUCUAUCCAUUAUUUUUUCCCAUCCUUAAACUAUGGAGUUGGAAGCAGCAGGGGAUGUGGAUGGACAGAUGUAACCUUGGGCCAGAGCCUCCUUGAUGUAUUCCUCCAUGGCCUUCUCCUCCAGGAUGGAAAGUGGAUAGAUCCUUCCUUUUGGCACUGGCUCACCCGGAAACAGAUCAAUGGCGUAGUCCCAUGGCCAGUAUGGAGGCAGUUUAGAGUCGCUCUUAGGGCAGAUGAUGUCGCUGAAGGGGGCGUAACACGAGGGAAUAUCCACUGACCGUUUCUCCAUCAGGCUCUCAAUGGAAUUGGCGCAGACAGAAAGCUUUUCAGGUGAAGAGGAUGGAACAGGAAAUCCGGAUAGGCAUUCCAGGAAACAGUUGUCGCCCCACUUCAGGACUUCACCAGAUUUCCAGGAGAUGACUGGGUUGUGCUGCUCCAACCACGGGUGCACAAGGAUCAUGUCAGCGGUGGACUCCUCCAGAACCAGCAGAUGAUUCUUCUUUUUGUGGAGUAUACCGAUUUGCAAUGUAAGUGGGCCGACCCGACGGCGGACCUGUCUUCUGCUUAGCGGUCGUCCAGUUAUGGAGUGGAUUUGAUAAGCAGACGGCGUCACCGUGUUUGUAAGGUUAAGCUGAUGGCACUGGAGAUGAAGUUGCUGGAGAUGAAGAAUCAAGGAGUGCCUAAACUGGAAUAGAAACAUCAGCAGCAGUAAGUUUUACAAUGGUGGUGAGUGGCUUCAUUUGAUUUGCGGAAGGGAUAAUGGCACUCACCAUGGGAUGAGGAGGAUGAAUGGGGCAUGUGGAGAGAAUAUGCCUCGGAGAUCCACAGUACAAACACAAGUUCCGGGCGAAGUUGUGUGGAAGCUGGCCCUGGUGUUCUUCGAGACACGAAUGCAUGCGCGUGGCGAAGCGGAUGGAGAGUUGGAUGAAGCAUUCAAGCCCGAUGGUAUCCUUGUAUGCAGCGAGAUGCAACCGCACUUGUGGAUCCAAACUGAAGUUUCUCACCAAUCAACGAAUCCCACACAGGUUUUCCAAAGACUUCUCUGAAGUGGUCUACAAAACUGGGUUGAGAGAUGAGAAACACCACUUUGGAUCUUUCGGUGGGGUAUAAGUGCGGCUGCAUCUCCAGGACCAGCGAAAAUUGGAAAAGCAAUCCCC